AUCUGCGGCCAUACUACUCUGAACACACCCAGUCUUGUCUGAUCUCAGAAGUUAAGCAGGAUCAGGCUUGGUUCGUACUUGGAUGGGAGACAGCUCAGGAAUACCGGGUGCUAUAGCCU
Molecule: non-coding RNA, 119 nt
Organism: Podarcis lilfordi (Lilford's wall lizard)
Lineage: Eukaryota; Metazoa; Chordata; Lepidosauria; Squamata; Lacertidae
Source: the annotation of a GenBank genome assembly